CCUCUUCCACCUGCUGCGGGCAGAUGAAAUGGAUAUGCGCGUCGAUACCGCCGGCAGUCAGGAUCUUGCCCUCGCCAGCGAUGAUUUCGGUGCCCGGACCGAUGACGAUGUCGACGCCCGGCUGCACGUCGGGGUUGCCGGCCUUGCCGAUGGCGGCGAUCCGGCCCUUCUGCAGGCCGACAUCCGCCUUGACCACGCCCCACCAGUCUAGAAUCAGGGCAUUGGUGAUGACCGUAUCCAUGACCGAAUCGUCGUGUCGCUGGCUCUGUCCCAUGCCGUCACGG
This is a small RNA of Salinicola sp. MIT1003, 284 nucleotides long. It matches the Rfam family "5' ureB small RNA". NCBI's taxonomy places the organism in Bacteria, Pseudomonadati, Pseudomonadota, Gammaproteobacteria, Oceanospirillales, Halomonadaceae. The record is from Rfam.